RNAcentral lists this ribosomal RNA (134 nucleotides) under Staphylococcus aureus. RNAcentral's name for it is "partial 23S ribosomal RNA". It matches the Rfam family "Bacterial large subunit ribosomal RNA", at positions 2789 to 2925 of the family's 2925-position model. The record is from RNAcentral. Lineage: Bacteria; Bacillati; Bacillota; Bacilli; Caryophanales; Staphylococcaceae.
GAAGCCCCCCUCAAGAUGAGAUUUCCCAACUUCGGUUAUAAGAUCCCUCAAAGAUGAUGAGGUUAAUAGGUUCGAGGUGGAAGCAUGGUGACAUGUGGAGCUGACGAAUACUAAUCGAUCGAAGACUUAAUCAA